GAGAAAGAAGAAGAUGUGUAAGAAUGCGUGGUGGUGGUGUUGGGUAGUGGUGGUGGUGAUGGUGAUGGUGGUGGUGUUAGGGGAAGACAUAAUAGAGGAAGAGGCAGAAGGCAAAGAAUAAGAGUCCCUGAUGAAAUCAGAGCCACAAGUGUGGACCAUGUCAUAAACCAUGGUCUUACAAUGGAAGAGGCUGGUCGGCGAGUACAGCCUAAUGUAAACAGGUCCACAGCGUCAUCAAUUGUGCAAACAUUCUGUAGGGAAAAGAGGUGCCAUUUGAAAGGAAUAGUGACAGAGUAAAGGAGCUGCUUUACCAGUAUGUCCAGAGAACAAUGGAGCUGGAAGGACAUGAAAUGGUCCACAUUCUUUUUUUGUGUGGAAGAGACUCGGUUCAAUCUGGCCAAAUUGCAGGAGACGUGGCCACAAUCUCAUUGGACACCGAGCCACAAUUGACACACCAGGCCAACGUGGAGGCAAUAUUACAAUGUGUGCUGCCAUUUCUGAGAAUGGUGUGAGAACACAUAUUCCACACAUUGGGUCCUAUAACACCCAACUUCUCCUGGCCUUCCUAAAUACACUUUACAGAGAUGUAACUGUGUGGGAUAAUGUAAGCUUCCACCGAACCAACAUUGUUAGGGAAUGGUUUGCUGCACUUGAAAGGAUAACAAUGGACUUCCUUCCACCAUCCUCCCCAUUCCUGAAUCGGAAAGAAUUGUUUUUUUCAUCAUGGAGGUGGAAAGUAUAUGGCAUGGUCCACAAGAUCAGAUGUCUCUGUUAGAUGCCAUGAAUGCUGCUUGUGAGGACAUCACAGGCGAUCAUUGCAGGGGAUGGUUGUGCCACGCAAGGAGAUUUUCCCCCCGGUGCAUCGCAAGGGAAAACAUCAGAUGUGAUGUUAAUUAAAAUCUCUAGCCAGACCAACAAGAGCGACAGGAUGUCCAGCAAGAAGAUGGGAACUUGUAGUGUUACGUACUGUGAGGAGAUACAAUUUAUAGUUGUUUUACAGAAGUACCGCAGGUUUUUUCAUUGUUGUUAAAUUUUUUGCAUGGAUGUCAUUUUGCGGUAAUUUUUCUGUUCACUGUAUAUGACUUUACAUGUAAGAAAUAUGUAAAAAUGGACAGGCAAAUGUGAAUUUUCUGUUUACAUGUAACACAUUGCUACAAAACUAAAUGUACUGUAUACAUACAAAUGUGCAUAUCCCUUUUUUGUGUACUACAGUAUUGUACAGUAUUGACUUUUCCCAGUAAACUUUUCCCUACUGUUGAAAUCGGUAACUACAAAGCUCAGUGUGAUACACAAUAGCAUUCAGCUAGACACAACUGACAUUCUUGUACAGUGCAGUAAGUGUCAACAAAAAAAUAGAACAAAACUGAAAUUUGUAUAUAACAAACAUUUCCAGGGUUGACUGCCAUGGUGAAAAAACAUCUAAACAUUUUGAGCAGUACGGCUCACACGAUGACAAAAAAACAUUUCAUUUUGGUGGCAUUGGCCAAUUUACUGACACAAUAACUUGGUUUUGAAGUAUGAAUUAAAUGUUCUGGGUGAGUUACUACAUUUUGCAGACAUGCAAUAGAGUUGUGAUGUCCCAUAAAACAGUUGUGACAAUUGCACUUACAGUUUAGUUAAGACUGUUUUAAAAAAUGAGCCAAAGCGAUUGAGAAACUGUAACACUACCUACAUGUACAUAUUACCUCAAUUACCCUGACACCGGUGCACACGGACUCUUCACCGGUACACCCGGUACUUUCAUCUCAUACUUUUUUAGGGUAUUUUCUUAAAACUGCAUUGUUGGUUCAGGGCUUGUAAGUAAGCAUUUCACUGUAAGGUCAACACCUGUUGUAUUCGUCGCAUGUGACAUAACAUUUGAUUUGACUGGUCAUGCAUGCAUUCCUUGAAAGCAUCAACACCAACCAGUGGCUAAACGGGAUCUUUCUGAUUAGGGUCUGCGGAGCUACUGAAAUAACAAGAGCAGAUAAGAGAGAAACUUUACAACUGUUAACUCAAUAAGAGGUUGUCAAGCUGUUUAUACUUCAACAUGUCAUGCAUGCAUUCCUUGAAAGCGUUAAAACCAACCGGCGGCUAAACGGGAUCUUUUGACAAAUUCAGGAAUCCAAUUCCCAUUUAGGUCUCGUUAACUCCUUGAUGGCUGCUUUUUUUCUUUACUCCCUGAGAUAUAGAUGAACAAUACAUUUCAAUGUUGUAAACAGAAUGACACUGUGUGAUAAUCUGGUAGGCCUAACACUAGACAUCGCCAUCUGGGUCUCCAAUUCCUCAGCAAGUUCUCUUGCUUCUUGACGGCCAUCCAGCUCAGAUGAUGCUCUAUUCUCUGAAGCCAUUGUCUCCACUUCAUGAAAGGUAAAACAAAUAAAUACACAAAAUCUAAACAUAA
Molecule: long non-coding RNA, 2383 nt
Organism: Salvelinus sp. IW2-2015
Lineage: Eukaryota; Metazoa; Chordata; Actinopteri; Salmoniformes; Salmonidae
Source: RefSeq, a predicted model, not a curated record